AUGAACGCUGGCGGCGUGCCUAAUACAUGCAAGUCGAGCGAACAGAUGAGGAGCUUGCUCCUCUGACGUUAGCGGCGGACGGGUGAGUAACACGUGGAUAACCUACCUAUAAGACUGGGAUAACUUCGGGAAACCGGAGCUAAUACCGGAUAAUAUAUUGAACCGCAUGGUUCAAUAGUGAAAGACGGUUUUGCUGUCACUUAUAGAUGGAUCCGCGCCGCAUUCGCUAGUUGGUAAGGUAACGGCUUACCAAGGCAACGAUGCGUAGCCGACCUGAGAGGGUGAUCGGCCACACUGGAACUGAGACACGGUCCAGACUCCUACGGGAGGCAGCAGUAGGGAAUCUUCCGCAAUGGGCGAAAGCCUGACGGAGCAACGCCGCGUGAGUGAUGAAGGUCUUCGGAUCGUAAAACUCUGUUAUUAGGGAAGAACAAAUGUGUAAGUAACUAUGCACGUCUUGACGGUACCUAAUCAGAAAGCCACGGCUAACUACGUG
Molecule: ribosomal RNA, 496 nt
Filed under: uncultured bacterium
Lineage: Bacteria
Description: partial 16S ribosomal RNA
Rfam family: Bacterial small subunit ribosomal RNA
Source: RNAcentral